Molecule: ribosomal RNA, 595 nt
Filed under: Caulobacter sp.
Lineage: Bacteria; Pseudomonadati; Pseudomonadota; Alphaproteobacteria; Caulobacterales; Caulobacteraceae
Description: bacterial SSU rRNA
Rfam family: Bacterial small subunit ribosomal RNA
Source: RNAcentral
GGGAUUAGUGGCGGACGGGUGAGUAACACGUGGGAACGUGCCCUUUGGUUCGGAACAACUCAGGGAAACUUGAGCUAAUACCGGAUGUGCCCUUCGGGGGAAAGAUUUAUCGCCAUUGGAGCGGCCCGCGUCUGAUUAGCUAGUUGGUGAGGUAAAGGCUCACCAAGGCGACGAUCAGUAGCUGGUCUGAGAGGAUGAUCAGCCACAUUGGGACUGAGACACGGCCCAAACUCCUACGGGAGGCAGCAGUGGGGAAUCUUGCGCAAUGGGCGAAAGCCUGACGCAGCCAUGCCGCGUGAAUGAUGAAGGUCUUAGGAUUGUAAAAUUCUUUCACCGGGGACGAUAAUGACGGUACCCGGAGAAGAAGCCCCGGCUAACUUCGUGCCAGCAGCCGCGGUAAUACGAAGGGGGCUAGCGUUGCUCGGAAUUACUGGGCGUAAAGGGAGCGUAGGCGGACUGUUAAGUUAGAGGUGAAAGCCCGGGGCUCAACCUUGGAAUUGCCUUUGAUACUGGCAGUCUUGAGUACGGAGAGGUAUGAGGAACUCCGAGUGGACACGUGAAAUUCGUAAAUAUGCGGAAGACACAGAUGGCGAAU